CAUACUCCCGUUUGGUCAUUUCAUCCUCCCAUUUAUUGAAAUUGUUGGGGAGAGGAGAGGAAAAGAAAGGAGAAGAAGGAGAGGAAGAAGAGAAGAAGAAGAAGGAGAAGGAGAAAAAGGCUGGUUCUUGGAGCUACUUGGGCUGCAAGCUGCUGCUGUCCUCCUGUUGCUGUUCUCCUCCUACUGUAGCUAGGUGGUGUUGCUGUUGUAGAGUAGAUGAUGGUGCAAGCAAAGGAGCUGCUGUGCAUGGCUGCUGUCCAAGCUUGGAUCAAGCAAGCUGAGAGGUGCAAGAGCUGUCCAAGCUGAAAUUCUGCUACAAAUAUUGUGUUACUGCAGUCCAAAUUUGGUUUCAGCUGAGUUACUACUGCACCUGCUGUUGUGCAACUGCUGUACUUGUCCAGAGAGGACCCAAAUUACCCGGUGAGGAUACGCAGUGAUGGGAAUUCAAUGGUAACAAUCGGAUUUCGGGUUUUAAGAUGGUGGAACUGUUGCUGAGCCAAGAUUUGGAUUUCAAUGCUGUUGGGAGGCUUAUGUUUGCGAAGCACAUGGAUGCUGAUGGUUGUCACUUCACUAUUUUUUAUGUAAAUAUUUUUGAAUUGUGUAAGAUGUAAUUAUUAUACCUGUGGGUUAAUGUCAUUGGGCCUGUAUUAAUAUAUAUAACAUCGUGAAUCACUAGUGAUAUGUAUUAUUUCUGAUUUUUUAUAUGUACUCUGAUUUUAGUUA
Long non-coding RNA from Macadamia integrifolia, 723 nucleotides. RefSeq lists it as uncharacterized. NCBI's taxonomy places the organism in Eukaryota, Viridiplantae, Streptophyta, Magnoliopsida, Proteales, Proteaceae. The record is from RefSeq and is a predicted model, not a curated record. The transcript is spliced from 3 exons.